Molecule: ribosomal RNA, 375 nt
Filed under: uncultured organism
Description: partial 16S ribosomal RNA
Rfam family: Bacterial small subunit ribosomal RNA
Source: RNAcentral
UGAGGGUGCAAGCGUUAAUCGGAAUUACUGGGCGUAAAGCGAGUGUAGGCGGCUUCGUAAGUCGGAUGUGAAAGCCCCGGGCUUAACCUGGGAAUUGCAUUCGAUACUGCGCGGCUAGAGACUGAUAGAGGGAAGUGGAAUUCCAGGUGUAGCGGUGAAAUGCGUAGAUAUCUGGAGGAACAUCAGUGGCGAAGGCGGCUUCCUGGAUCAAGACUGACGCUGAGGCUCGAAAGCGUGGGGGGAGCAAACAGGAUUAGAUACCCUGGUAGUCCACGCCCCUAAACGAUGUCAACUAGACGUUGGGCUCAUUAUGGAGCUUAGUGUCGAAGCUAACGCGUUAAGUUGACCCGCCUGGGGAGUACGGCAGCAAGGUUG